CCUACGGGGAGCAGCAGUGGGGAAUAUUGGACAAUGGGGGGAACCCUGAUCCAGCCAUGCCGCGUGUGUGAAGAAGGCCCUCGGGUUGUAAAGCACUUUCAGUGAGGAAGAACGCCUGGUGGUUAAUACCCAUCAGGAAAGACAUCACUCACAGAAGAAGCACCGGCUAACUCCGUGCCAGCAGCCGCGGUAAUACGGAGGGUGCGAGCGUUAAUCGGAAUUACUGGGCGUAAAGCGCGCGUAGGAGGCUUGAUAAGCCGGUUGUGAAAGCCCCGGGCUCAACCUGGGAACGGCAUCCGGAACUGUCAAGCUAGAGUGCAGGAGAGGAAGGUAGAAUUCCCGGUGUAGCGGUGAAAUGCGUAGAGAUCGGGAGGAAUACCAGUGGCGAAGGCGGCCUUCUGGACUGACACUGACACUGAGGUGCGAAAGCGUGGGUAGCAAACAGGAUUAGAUACCCGAGUAGUC
This 465-nucleotide ribosomal RNA is filed under the name Vreelandella stevensii. Its description in RNAcentral is "partial 16S ribosomal RNA". It matches the Rfam family "Bacterial small subunit ribosomal RNA", at positions 338 to 795 of the family's 1533-position model. Lineage: Bacteria; Pseudomonadati; Pseudomonadota; Gammaproteobacteria; Oceanospirillales; Halomonadaceae. The record is from RNAcentral.